This 253-nucleotide ribosomal RNA is filed under the name uncultured bacterium. RNAcentral's name for it is "partial 16S ribosomal RNA". It matches the Rfam family "Bacterial small subunit ribosomal RNA", at positions 524 to 776 of the family's 1533-position model. The record is from RNAcentral.
UACGUAGGAGACGAGCGUUGUCCGGAGUUACUGGGCGUAAAGGGUGCGCAGGUGGCGGCGCGCGUGGGGGGUGAAAUCGCCCGGCUUAACUGGGCGGGGGCCUUCCAGACGGCGUGGCUUGAGCAGCGGAGGGGGACGUGGAAUUCCGGGUGGAGCGGUGAAAUGCGUAGAGAUCCGGAGGAACACCGACGGCGCAGGCAGCGUCCUGGCAGCUUGCUGACACUGAGGCACGAAAGCUGGGGGAGCAAACAGG